AUUGAACGCUGGCGGCAUGCCUUACACAUGCAAGUCGAACGGUAACAGGUCUUCGGAUGCUGACGAGUGGCGAACGGGUGAGUAAUACAUCGGAACGUGCCUAGUAGUGGGGGAUAACUACUCGAAAGAGUGGCUAAUACCGCAUGAGAUCUACGGAUGAAAGCAGGGGAUCGCAAGACCUUGUGCUACUAGAGCGGCCGAUGGCAGAUUAGGUAGUUGGUGGGAUAAAAGCUUACCAAGCCGACGAUCUGUAGCUGGUCUGAGAGGACGAUCCACCACACUGGGACUGAGACACGGCCCAGACUCCUACGGGAGGCAGCAGUGGGGAAUUUUGGACAAUGGGCGCAAGCCUGAUCCAGCAAUGCCGCGUGCAGGAUGAAGGCCUUCGGGUUGUAAACUGCUUUUGUACGGAACGAAAAGCCCCGGGUUAAUACCCUGGGGUCAUGACGGUACCGUAAGAAUAAGCACCGGCUAACUACGUGCCAGCCGCCGCAGUAA
RNAcentral lists this ribosomal RNA (498 nucleotides) under uncultured bacterium. RNAcentral describes it as "partial 16S ribosomal RNA". It matches the Rfam family "Bacterial small subunit ribosomal RNA", at positions 30 to 523 of the family's 1533-position model. The record is from RNAcentral.